GGGCCCGCACAAGUGGUGGAGCAUGUGGUUUAAUUCGAUGCAACGCGAAGAACCUUACCAACCCUUGAAAUCUAGCGAAGUUCACAGAGAUGAGAAUGUGCCUUCGGGAACGCUAUGACAGGUGUUGCAUGGCUGUCGUCAGCUCGUGUCGUGAGAUGUAUGGUUAAGUCCAGUAACGAGCGCAACCCCUAUCCUUAUUUGCCAGCGCGUUAAGGCGGGAACUAUAGGGAGACUGCCGGGUGAAACCCGGAGGAAGGCGGGGACGAGGUCAAGUCAUCAUGGCCCUUAUGGGUUGGGCUACACACGUGCUACAAUGGGAAGUACAGAGGGAUGCGAAAGCGCGAGCUGGAGCCAAACCCUUAAACGUCUCGUAGUCCGGAUUGGAGUCUGCAACUCGACUCCAUGAAGUCGGAAUCGCUAGUAAUCG
This 427-nucleotide ribosomal RNA is filed under the name uncultured bacterium. RNAcentral's name for it is "bacterial SSU rRNA". It matches the Rfam family "Bacterial small subunit ribosomal RNA", at positions 917 to 1344 of the family's 1533-position model. The record is from RNAcentral.